This 52-nucleotide microRNA precursor is filed under the name Pongo abelii (Sumatran orangutan). RNAcentral describes it as "mir-1302 microRNA precursor family". It matches the Rfam family "mir-1302 microRNA precursor family". The record is from Rfam by way of RNAcentral. Lineage: Eukaryota; Metazoa; Chordata; Mammalia; Primates; Hominidae.
UUUUUAGUAUAAGCAUGUCCCACAUAAUAUUUGGGACAUACUUACACUAAAA